RNAcentral lists this ribosomal RNA (814 nucleotides) under uncultured bacterium. RNAcentral's name for it is "bacterial SSU rRNA". It matches the Rfam family "Bacterial small subunit ribosomal RNA", at positions 8 to 810 of the family's 1533-position model. The record is from RNAcentral.
AGAGUUUGAUCCUGGCUCAGGAUGAACGCUAGCUACAGGCUUAACACAUGCAAGUCGAGGGGCAGCAUGGUCUUAGCUUGCUAAGGCCGAUGGCGACCGGCGCACGGGUGAGUAACACGUAUCCAACCUGCCGUCUACUCUUGGACAGCCUUCUGAAAGGAAGAUUAAUACAAGAUGGCAUCAUGAGUUCGCAUGUUCACAUGAUUAAAGGUAUUCCGGUAGACGAUGGGGAUGCGUUCCAUUAGAUAGUAGGCGGGGUAACGGCCCACCUAGUCUUCGAUGGAUAGGGGUUCUGAGAGGAAGGUCCCCCACAUUGGAACUGAGACACGGUCCAAACUCCUACGGGAGGCAGCAGUGAGGAAUAUUGGUCAAUGGGCGCAGGCCUGAACCAGCCAAGUAGCGUGAAGGAUGACUGCCCUAUGGGUUGUAAACUUCUUUUAUAAAGGAAUAAAGUCGGGUAUGUAUACCCGUUUGCAUGUACUUUAUGAAUAAGGAUCGGCUAACUCCGUGCCAGCAGCCGCGGUAAUACGGAGGAUCCGAGCGUUAUCCGGAUUUAUUGGGUUUAAAGGGAGCGUAGAUGGAUGUUUAAGUCAGUUGUGAAAGUUUGCGGCUCAACCGUAAAAUUGCAGUUGAUACUGGAUAUCUUGAGUGCAGUUGAGGCAGGCGGAAUUCGUGGUGUAACGGUGAAAUGCUUAGAUAUCACGAAGAACUCCGAUUGCGAAGGCAGCCUGCUAAGCUGCAACUGACAUUGAGGCUCGAAAGUGUGGGUAUCAAACUAGGAUUAGAUACCCUGGUAGUCCACACGGUAAACGAU